RNAcentral lists this ribosomal RNA (497 nucleotides) under uncultured bacterium. Its description in RNAcentral is "partial 16S ribosomal RNA". It matches the Rfam family "Bacterial small subunit ribosomal RNA", at positions 28 to 507 of the family's 1533-position model. The record is from RNAcentral.
GACGAACGCUGGCGGCGUGCCUAAUACAUGCAAGUAGAACGCUGAAGCGAGGAGCUUGCUCUUCUUGGAUGAGUUGCGAACGGGUGAGUAACGCGUAGGUAACCUGCCUUGUAGCGGGGGAUAACUAUUGGAAACGAUAGCUAAUACCGCAUAACAAUGGAUGACACAUGUCAUUUAUUUGAAAGGGGCAAUUGCUCCACUACAAGAUGGACCUGCGUUGUAUUAGCUAGUAGGUGAGGUAAUGGCUCACCUAGGCGACGAUACAUAGCCGACCUGAGAGGGUGAUAGGCCACACUGGGACUGAGACACGGCCCAGACUCCUACGGGAGGCAGCAGUAGGUAAUCUUCGGCAAUGGGGGCAACCCUGACCGAGCAACGCCGCGUGAGUGAAGAAGGUUUUCGGAUCGUAAAGCUCUGUUGUAAGUAAAGAACGGGUGUGAGAGUGGAAAGUUCACACUGUGACGGUAGCUUACCAGAAAGGGACGGCUAACUACGUG